RNAcentral lists this ribosomal RNA (491 nucleotides) under uncultured bacterium. RNAcentral's name for it is "bacterial SSU rRNA". It matches the Rfam family "Bacterial small subunit ribosomal RNA", at positions 15 to 507 of the family's 1533-position model. The record is from RNAcentral.
GAUCAUGGCUCAGGAUGAACGCUAGCGGCAGGCCUAACACAUGCAAGUCGAGGGGUAGAGUUCUUCGGGACUUGAGACCGGCGCACGGGUGCGUAACGCGUAUGCAAUCUACCUUAUACAGGGGAAUAGCCCAGAGAAAUUUGGAUUAAUGCCCCAUAGUGUUAUUGAAUCGCAUGGUUUAAUAACUAAAGUUCCAACGGUAUAAGAUGAGCAUGCGUCCCAUUAGUUAGUUGGUAAGGUAACGGCUUACCAAGACAAUGAUGGGUAGGGGUCCUGAGAGGGAGAUCCCCCACACUGGUACUGAGACACGGACCAGACUCCUACGGGAGGCAGCAGUGAGGAAUAUUGGUCAAUGGGCGCAAGCCUGAACCAGCCAUGCCGCGUGCAGGAAGACGGUCCUAUGGAUUGUAAACUGCUUUUAUACAGGAAGAAACCCUCCCACGUGUGGGAGAUUGACGGUACUGUAGGAAUAAGGAUCGGCUAACUCCGUG